ACCCAACCGAACCGGACCGAACCGAUUACCCAUCAUCACCUACUGUACAGCCGCUAUAACUACACAACGGCUCUCUGAGAACACAGCCUCAACUAGACUGGAAACAUGAACGACUCCAAACUCAUCCUGUGUCAAUACUGCAGCGAGAUGAUCAACCCGCUCCGCCUGGACCACCAUCAGAAAAGCUGCCGAGAAAACGCGGAGCGAAGAAAGACGUCAGAGUCCAGAGGAAGGUCCAGGUAUUAUCUGCACAGGACCGGUCCGAUUUCCACCAACAGAGGAUACAGACUGGAGAGUGCGUGAAGACCGGGCCAGCUAGAUUCAUUCGGACCCGACAAAGGAACCACAGCUUGACUUGAGUGGAGAGAGACUAACAGACUGAAUGGUACAGGGCAGCAGCUACUGGAUAGCUACAAUGCACUCAUGGUACCAGACAGAGCGAAGAUGAUCAAAUGUAUUAUAAAGAAUAAAAGGCGCUACGGCGCAUGCAUG
This 492-nucleotide unclassified non-coding RNA is filed under the name Yarrowia lipolytica. Lineage: Eukaryota; Fungi; Ascomycota; Dipodascomycetes; Dipodascales. The record is from RNAcentral.